AUUGAACGCUGGCGGCAUGCCUUACACAUGCAAGUCGAACGGCAGCGACGGGGGCAACCCUGGUGGCGAGUGGCGAACGGGUGAGUAAUACAUCGGAAUGUACCCAGUAGUGGGGGAUAACUAGUCGAAAGAUUAGCUAAUACCGCAUACGCACUAUGGUGGAAAGCGGGGGAUCGCAAGACCUCGCGCUAUUGGAGCAGCCGAUGUCCGAUUAGGUAGUUGGUAGGGGUAAAAGCCUACCAAGCCUGCGAUCGGUAACUGGUCUGAGAGGACGACCAGUCACACUGGGACUGAGACACGGCCCAGACUCCUACGGGAGGCAGCAGGUGGGGUAAUUUUGGACAAUGGGGGAAACCCUGAUCCAGCAAUGCCGCGUGUGUGACGAAGGCCUUCGGGUUGUAAAGCACUUUUGGCGGGAACGAAACGGCGCUUUCUAAUACAGAGCGCUAAUGACGGUACCCGCAGAAUAAGCACCGGCUAACUACGUG
This 488-nucleotide ribosomal RNA is filed under the name uncultured bacterium. RNAcentral describes it as "bacterial SSU rRNA". It matches the Rfam family "Bacterial small subunit ribosomal RNA", at positions 30 to 507 of the family's 1533-position model. The record is from RNAcentral.